AGAGUUUGAUCCUGGCUCAGGAUGAACGCUGGCGGCGUGCCUAACACAUGCAAGUCGAGCGGAGACAGUGAGUAGCUUGCUAUGAGCUGUUUUAGCGGCGGACGGGUGAGUAACGCGUGAGCAACCUUUCCCAGACACGGGAAUAACACACCGAAAGGUGUACUAAUACCGCAUAAGACCACGGGAUCACAUGGUUCUGGGGUAAAAGAUUUUAUCGGUUUGGGGUGGGCUCGCGUCCGAUUAGGUAGUUGGUG
This 254-nucleotide ribosomal RNA is filed under the name uncultured bacterium. Its description in RNAcentral is "partial 16S ribosomal RNA". It matches the Rfam family "Bacterial small subunit ribosomal RNA", at positions 8 to 254 of the family's 1533-position model. The record is from RNAcentral.